This 1436-nucleotide ribosomal RNA is filed under the name uncultured marine bacterium. RNAcentral describes it as "bacterial SSU rRNA". It matches the Rfam family "Bacterial small subunit ribosomal RNA". The record is from RNAcentral.
AGAGUUUGAUCAUGGCUCAGAACGUACGCUGGCGGCACGCCUAACACAUGCAAGUCGAACGAAGUAGCAAUACUUAGUGGCAGACGGGUGAGUAACAUGUGGGUAUCUGCCCUUUGGCCUGGAAUAACACGAGGAAACUUGUGCUAAUACCGGAUAAGUCUUUACGGAGAAAGCUUUAUGCACCAUUGGAUGAGCCCGCACUUGAUUAGUUUGUUGGUGGGGUAAUGGCCUACCAAGACUGUGAUCAAUAGCUGAUUUGAGAGGAUGAUCAGCCACAUUGGGACUGAGACACGGCCCAAACUCCUACGGGAGGCAGCAGUGGGGAAUCUUGCACAAUGGAGGAAACUCUGAUGCAGCGAUGCCGCGUGAGUGAAGAAGGCCCUUGGGUUGUAAAGCUCUUUCGUCGGGGAAGAAAAUGACUGUACCCGAAUAAGAAGGUCCGGCUAACUUCGUGCCAGCAGCCGCGGUAAUACGAAGGGACCUAGCGUAGUUCGGAAUUACUGGGCUUAAAGAGUUCGUAGGUGGUUGAAAAAGUUAGUGGUGAAAUCCCAGAGCUUAACUCUGGAACUGCCAUUAAAACUUUUCAGCUAGAGUAUGAUAGAGGAAAGCAGAAUUUCUAGUGUAGAGGUGAAAUUCGUAGAUAUUAGAAAGAAUACCAAUUGCGAAGGCAGCUUUCUGGAUCAUUACUGACACUGAGGAACGAAAGCAUGGGUAGCGAAGAGGAUUAGAUACCCUCGUAGUCCAUGCCGUAAACGAUGUGUGUUAGACGUUGGAAAUUUAUUUUCAGUGUCGCAGCGAAAGCGAUAAACACACCGCCUGGGGAGUACGACCGCAAGGUUAAAACUCAAAUGAAUUGACGGGGACCCGCACAAGCAGUGGAGCAUGUGGUUUAAUUCGAAGAUACGCGCAGAACCUUACCAACACUUGACAUGUUCGUCGCGACUCUAAGAGAUUAGAGUUUUCGGUUCGGCCGGACGAAACACAGGUGCUGCAUGGCUGUCGUCAGCUCGUGUCGUGAGAUGUUGGGUUAAGUCCCGCAACGAGCGCAACCCUCACUUUUAGUUGCCAUCAUUAAGUUGGGCACUCUGAAAGAACUGCCAGUGAUAAGCUGGAGGAAGGUGGGGAUGACGUCAAGUCCUCAUGGCCCUUACGUGUUGGGCUACACACGUGCUACAAUGGUAUCUACAACAGGAAGCAAGACUGCGAGGUCAAGCAAAUCCUUAAAAGAUACCUCAGUUCGGAUUGCACUCUGCAACUCGAGUGCAUGAAGCUGGAAUUACUAGUAAUCGUGGAUCAGCGUGCCACGGUGAAUGCGUUCCCGGGUCUUGUACACACCGCCCGUCACACCAUGGGAGUUGGUUCUACCUUAAGGCAAGGUUUCAAACCCUUGACCACGGUAUAGUCAGCGACUGGGGUGAAGUCGUAACAAGGUAACC